Long non-coding RNA from Onychostoma macrolepis, 804 nucleotides. RefSeq lists it as uncharacterized. The record is from RefSeq and is a predicted model, not a curated record. The transcript is spliced from 4 exons. NCBI's taxonomy places the organism in Eukaryota, Metazoa, Chordata, Actinopteri, Cypriniformes, Cyprinidae.
UUCAAAAAAAGAAAUGUUAAGUAUAACUUUAAUGUCUUAAUAGGCACAUUGGUAAUUAUAAUGAUUCAAGUUGAAUUUACUGCAUGCUGGGUUUGUUAUUCCCUUUUUUCCAGAAAUCUUCAGACCAGACUCCGAUUAAAAACACGUCAAAAAUCCCCCAAGAAUAAAACGCAUGUAAGUCUGGUGCCCUACCAAUGCAGAAUAUGUGCAGGUUUUCUUCUUGGGAAAUAUUACUUUCCUUAAGAAUCUAGAAGGAAAUGGCUAGACACAAAUUCAGAGCAAGGAGAAUAAUGCUGUCUGAAGGAACUCCAGGAUCCUAUCCCAGAUCUAUGUUAGGGGUCACCGGAGCCACCCAGAUUCAGUCCGUAUCCAAACCAGACGGUGGAUCAGCAUCUAGAGAUGACCUUUACAGCCCUGAACGUCAGCGGAGACCAGGACACCUAAAUGAGUUAAGACCAUGUCACUUAGACGGCCAUCGGGACAAGACCACAGGAACCAGAUGAGUCCUCUGCGCAAUCUGACUUUGUUGCAGCCUAGAAUUAAACUGCUGGUUUCGUCUGGCCAGGGAAGAACGAUGGGGUUUUGGUUCCUUUAACACACUGUUUUCCUGUUUAAUACUUUAAAGCUACAAUCUGUAUUGUAAAAAGUGCUAUAUAAAUAACGGUGACUUGACUUGCUGCAGUUUAAUUGCUUGACCUCUUUAUUUCUGAUUAAAUUUCCUUCAUGUGAAUGUGCCUUUACUGAAUAUCUUUCAAAAUGGUCAUCAAAAAAUUAAGCUCAAAUCAGAAAAAAAAAUAAAAUUGU